UACGGAGGGUGCAAGCGUUAUCCGGAUUCACUGGGUUUAAAGGGUGUGUAGGCGGGCUGUUAAGUCAGUGGUGAAAUCUCCAGGCUCAACCUGGAAACUGCCGUUGAUACUAUCAGUCUUGAGUCCUGUUGAGGUGGGCGGAAUAUAUCAUGUAGCGGUGAAAUGCUUAGAUAUGAUAUAGAACACCGAUUGCGAAGGCAGCUCACUAAGCAGGCAUUGACGCUGAGGCAUGAAAGCGUGGGGAUCAAACAGG
This 253-nucleotide ribosomal RNA is filed under the name uncultured bacterium. Its description in RNAcentral is "partial 16S ribosomal RNA". It matches the Rfam family "Bacterial small subunit ribosomal RNA", at positions 524 to 776 of the family's 1533-position model. The record is from RNAcentral.